CAGCACUAAAAUAAAUAAAUAAUCAAUCAAUCUCUUUCAGGUCUUGAGGGAGUUUUUGCUUUCUCAGACAUAACCUUACAUAAGAUUGAAACUCGACUCCUUCCUUAACUGUUUUCCAUAGGAUUUAGUAACUUGUUAGCAAAUCAUUUCUUUCCCACUGGAAUGUAAACUUGAGGGCAAAAGAUUUUUCAGUUUUAAUCAGUAUAGUUUCUCUAGAGCCUAUACUUGUGCCAUGCACAUAGUAAGGAUACAAAAAGCUAUCUAAUUCUACAGUGUUUUCAUCACCACAAAAAUGCUGUACCCAUUAGCAAUCACUUAUAUUUUUUAAAAAUUGAGUACCUCUAAACUAUUUGGUUUAUAUGGUGAUAUUUAUCUUAAAAACAUACAAUUGAGGGGCUCAGUGGUAGAGCACUUGCUUAGGACAUGUGAGGCAGUAAGUUCAAUCCUCAGCACCACAUAAAUAUAAAUAAAUAAAGGUAUUAUGUCCACCUACAACUAAAAAGUAUAAAAAAUACAAUUGAGAUACUUUUAAAAAUAUUAAUUUACUUUAAAAAAAAUGGGCUGGAGUUGUGGCUCAGUGGUAGAGUGCUUGCCUAGUACUUAUGAGGCACAGGGUUCGAUCCCCAGCAUCACAUUAAAAACAAUGAACAAAUAAAAUAAAGGUAUUGUGUGCACCUACAACUAAAAAAAUAUUUUAAAAAAAUAAAAUGAUUUCAGGUAACUAAACAUUUCUUAAUUAAAACAGUAAUUUUCCGGGCUGGGGUUGUAGCUCAGUGGUAAGAGCGCUUGCUUUGCCCGUGUGAGUUGGGUCCUCAGCACAACAUUAACAAACAAAUAAAUAAAUAGUAAUUUUCCAAAACAAAAAAAAUGUAGUAAGAAAAGGGAAUUGUUUUACAUAUUUGUAAAUAUCUUUGGUUUAAUACAAGAUGGCUGGAUUCUCAUAUUAACUGUUGUGAAAGAAAUAUGCCCACAAAAUC
This 977-nucleotide long non-coding RNA is filed under the name Marmota monax (woodchuck). Lineage: Eukaryota; Metazoa; Chordata; Mammalia; Rodentia; Sciuridae. The record is from RNAcentral.